UGGGGAAUUUUGGACAAUGGGCGAAAGCCUGAUCCAGCAAUGCCGCGUGUGUGAAGAAGGCCUUCGGGUUGUAAAGCACUUUUGUCCGGAAAGAAAACCUCCGCCCUAAUAUGGUGGGGGGAUGACGGUACCGGAAGAAUAAGCACCGGCUAACUACGUGCCAGCAGCCGCGGUAAUACGUAGGGUGCAAGCGUUAAUCGGAAUUACUGGGCGUAAAGCGUGCGCAGGCGGUCCGCUAAGACAGAUGUGAAAUCCCCGGGCUUAACCUGGGAACUGCAUUUGUGACUGGCGGGCUAGAGUAUGGCAGAGGGGGGUAGAAUUCCACGUGUAGCAGUGAAAUGCGUAGAGAUGUGGAGGAAUACCGAUGGCGAAGGCAGCCCCCUGGGCCAAUACUGACGCUCAUGCACGAAAGCGUGGGGAGCAAACAGGAUUAGAUACCCCCGUAGUCC
Molecule: ribosomal RNA, 449 nt
Filed under: uncultured bacterium
Lineage: Bacteria
Description: bacterial SSU rRNA
Rfam family: Bacterial small subunit ribosomal RNA
Source: RNAcentral